This is a non-coding RNA of Monodelphis domestica (gray short-tailed opossum), 9729 nucleotides long. The record is from RefSeq and is a predicted model, not a curated record. Lineage: Eukaryota; Metazoa; Chordata; Mammalia; Didelphimorphia; Didelphidae.
AAUCUUCCUUCUAGCACUGGAUUGUUACCAUCUGUGUAAUUUGAAUCUGUUACCCUAAAAACGACGAUCCCCAGCAAAACUAUGAUUCCCAGCAUCCUACUCACUCCCUGUCAUUACUGCUGCCGUAGACAGGAUAUAAAUUGGGUGGAGUUCUGUGUCUAGUGCUCUUUCCUUCCUGUCAAGGCUUUGGUGGAGCAAGGAUUUUUGAGCAGAAUUAAUACAAGAACAGAAAGUAAGAGAAGAGAGAAAGGAAGGAAGGAAGGAAGAAAGGAAGGAAGAAGGAAGGAAGGAACGAACGAACGAACGAAUGAACAAAUGAAUGAAGGAAGGAAAGAACAAAGGAAGGAAGAAAGAAGAAAAAAAAAGAAAGGAAGGAAGAAGUCAAAACUGAGGACCCUUCUAUCUCUAGCCCUUUGGAUCUGUGAAAACCCUCUGUUGGCUUAAGAGUGUUUUGUUUGGACACUGGAACAAUGAUUAAUGAGAUUUUUGUUAUAUCUUGAUAUAUCUUUCCUAUCUUGCUAUCAUUUGUUUCAGUGAGAUGUAGUGUAAUGGGACAAACUCUGGACCCAUUUAGUCCUGGCCUUCCCCUAACUAGCUGAGUAACCAAUGGCUAGGUUCCUCAUUGCGACUAGAUGCUAUGAUCUCUAAAGUACCUUCUUGAUUCACUAUUCUCAUGGAUCUGAGAUCUCAUUCCCAUGUGUACUUUUUCCAAAAAUAUAGAUCCCAAUCCACCUGUGUCUUCUCAUUCUCAUCCCUGUCUUCUUGCAAAUCCUCUGCAUGGUACACACACACACACACACACACACACACACACACACACACACAGAGUACGAUGGAAACCUUCCCCUAAGUCUCUUGACAGGAUGAGAGUUCCAAUUCCAUUUCUUAUUAGACCUCACUGUCAAUGUCAAUAUAGAGGUUGGAAGGGUCUUGAGAAACCACUUAUUCUAACUCCUCCAUUCUACAGGUAAGGACAUGGAGGUCUAUUUGAAAUGACUUGUCCAAGGUCACACAAGCAGGAAGGAACAGAACUGCAAUUCAGAGCUGCAAUUCAACCUUGAGUCCCUAGACUCAAAUUCAUGUUCUUUCCAUUGCAUCAAGCUAUCUCCUGGACACCUGAGAAGCCCAUCUGCAUCUUCUGGUCAGAACUAGAAUCUAUGCCUCUCUCUCUCUUAAAACAUCCCUUACUUUGCUUCUUCUGAACAAUUUCAGUUUGGUAACAGGUUACGUACAGCAUUUAAAGGCUGAUGAUUUUAUCCAAGCCAAGAUGAAGUAUCUGAGGAGAUCUUUUAGAGAGGAUCUCCUUUCUCUUCCUAAAUUUUCAUUCUCAGGGAUUCUUAUUGUGUGUUUUAAAAAAUUAUAUCAGCCCUAACCAUUUUUUGUCUUCAUUGAUUGUUUUCAUCUUGAAUAUUCCUGUAUGGACAUCUCCUCCCUGCAUAUUGGUCUGCGUUAGCCAACCCAUCAUUUCCAUCUUCUGAGUAUUCUAAAUAUUUCUUUCCAGCCUCUUUCUUAGUGGAACAUGUAGCUAUCAUAAAUAGCAUUUGGUAGCUAGAGCUUUCUGUAGGGAGUUGAGACUUAGGUUUAUUGUUUUUAUUUUUUUCUGUUUGUCAUUCUGUAAUUCUUUUUUUUUAAUUACAUAUUUAAUUCAUAGCUGCGCUUUUUGUGGUGGCAAAAAAUUGGAAAAUGCGGGGAUGCCCUUCAAUUGGAGAAUGGCUGAACAAAUUGUGGUAUAUGUUGGUGAUGGAAUACUAUUGUGCUAAAAGGAAUAAUAAAGUGGAGGAAUUCCAUGUGAACUGGAACAACCUCUAGGAAGUGAUGCAGAGCGAGAGGAGCAGAACUAGGAGAACAUUGUACACAGAGACUAAUACACUGUGGUAUAAUCAAACGUAAUGGACUUCUUCAUUAGUGUCAAUGCAGUGAUUCUGAACAACUUGGAGGGAUCUAUGAGAAAAAACACUAUCCACAUUCAGAGGAAAAACUUUGGGAGUAGAAAGAGAGAAGAAAAACAACUGCUUGAUCACAUGGGUUGAGGGGGAUAUGACUGGGGAUGUAGAUUGUAAAUGUCCACCUUCGUGCAAAUAUCAAUAAUAUGGAAAUAAUUGAUCAAUGACACAAGUAAAACCCAGUAGAAUUGUGUGUUGGCUAUGGGGGGAAGGGAGGGAAAGAACAUGAAUCAUGUAACCAUGGAAAAAUAUUCUAAAUUAAUCCAUUAAAUAAAAAUUUUCAAUUAAAAAUUUUAAAGCAAAAAUAAGUAAAUAAAAAGACAUAUUUAGGGGGUGGCUGUGUGGCUCACUGGAUUGAGAUCCAGGCCUAGAGAUGGGAGGUCUACCAAGAAAGUGAAUACUUUCUAUAUUUUUAUUUUUUAAUUAAUUAUUUUUUUAGAAUAUUUUUCCAUGGUUACAUGCUUCAUUUUCUCUCCCUCCUCUCUUCCCUCCCCUCUCCUGGAGCUGAUUCCACUGGUUUAUACAUCUUACUGAGAGAAAAUAAAGUGGCUUUUGAGUAGUGAUGAAGAAGGGAACAAGGCAAUCCUAUUGUCAUGGGAUCUGGAGCACAAUACUGUAUGUUUGUGAGAGGAUGGACAAAUUUAUGAAUAAAUUGGGUCAUCCUAAAAGAUAAUAAAGCCCAUUGGCCCCAUGGAGUGGGAAGCUACAUGCAGCCUCAGGUUCACUAGCAGAGUGGUCUUAGCAACAGACACCUGUAGAAAUGCAAUGGCUGUCACCAGGUUUUGUGUUGCUUUCUCUUUUUUUUUUUUAAGAAAAGAAAAACAAAAAUGAGUGCUACUAUCAUUGUUAACACUUAUUUUGAGUGGCUACUGCUAAUUCUUAAAUUAAACUUUGCAAAGAAUCAUCAGAUGGAGAGAAGCAGCCCAGUGACCUCAAAUUGAAGGCCAAAGACAACAAACAAGAACAUUAAUCAUCUCUCCCUGCCAUGGGAAAAAGCAGCUCUGUCCUUCCAUCCAAUGUGAGGAAUUAGGGAAAAGGAAGGCCUGGAGAGUCCCACCUUCCCCUAACUAAAUCUAGCCCUUUCCCAUCCCUAGGGCAUUUUUUUUUUAAAGCUUAUGUUCUGCCUAUUCUUUUUCCUGAAAUGAUCUUUUAUUUUAUUUUUUCCCCUCAAUUAUAUGUAAAAACAAUUUCUAGCAUUCUUUUUCAAAUUUUCACAUUCCAAACAUUCUCCCUCCCUUCCCUACCACUUCCUUGAGAAAGCAAGUAAUUUGAUAUAGAUUAUACAUGUGCAGCCAUGCAAAACAUAUUUCCAUAUUAACCAUGUUAGAAAAGAAAACACAGAACAAAACAAAACAAGAAAAAUAAAGUAAAAAAACUAUGUCUCGAUAAAAUUCAGACUCCAUCAGUUCUUCCUCUGGAGGUGGAUUGUAUUUUUCAAAAUAAAUCCUUCAGAAUCAUCUUGGAUUAUUGUAGUGAUGAUUUUAGCCCAGUCAUUUACAGCCAAUCAUCAUACAAUAUUGCUGUUAUUGUGUAUAAUGUUUUCCUACUUCCGAGUCUUUCCAGAUUUUUCUGAAAGCAUCCUUUGCUAUUUCUUAUAGCAAAAUACUAUUCUAUCACAAAACAUAUGCUACAACUUGCUUGGCCAUUCCCCAAUUGAUGGUUAUCUCCUCAACUUCUAAUUCUCUGCCACCACAAAAAAGAGCUGCUACAAAUAUUUUGGUAUACACAGACCCUCCCUUGGGCAUUCUUAUAGAGAUCCAUUCACUGGGUGGCUCCAUGAAUAGACUACUGGACUUGGAGUCAGGAAGUUCAAAUAUGGCCUCAAUCACUUUGCUAACUAUGUGACCCAGGGCAAUUACUUAAUCUAUUUGCUUCAGAUUUCCCAUCUAUAAAAUUGGGAUAAUAAUAGCAUCUACCUCCCAGGGUUUUUGUGACAAUAAAAUGAGAUCCUCCAAAACAAUCAGUUACCAAGUCAAUUGUACUUCCAGAGUAUUACCUCAAAUCCAUUCCUUUUUCUCUACUAACCCAGACAGCUGCCCUGGUUUAGACCUUCAUCAUCUCUUCCUGAGAUGAUAGUUAACAGUUGACUUCCAAGACUCUCUUCUCUCUCAUACAGCCUCUACACAGCUGCCAAAUUGCCAAUACAAAGGUGUAAUCUGAUUACUCCCCAACUCAAAAACUUUUAGUCACUUCCCAUUACCCAUUUGAUUAAAAACAAACUUCUUUCAUCUGAUAUUUAUGGGCUCUCUACCAUAUGUCUCCUGCUCACUUUCCCCGUUGAUUCAGACAUACAUAACUACUCCCUUUCAUAAAUGUUUUUCCAGCCAAAAUGGAUUUCUGGCUGAUUCCUAAUCUUAAUAGACCAUCUCUCACUUCUUGUCUUUGGAUAAAUCCCUGGAAUUCACUCUGUCUUCAUUUCACAAUACUCAUCCUCCUCCAAGGUCUAACCCAUAUAUCUCCUCUUCUGGGAAACCUUCCCAGAUCGUUCCAGAUGUUAGUGCCCUCUACUCUCUUAGUUUUCCUCUUAUUAUCCUUGUCAAUAUACAUGGUCUGUCCUUCCAGCAAAAUAUAAGUUCCUUAAAGGCAAAGAUUAUUUUUUCUUGUUUUUGUAGUUGUAUACUCAGCAUCUAGAAGAAUAUUUUGUGUACAACUGACUUUUGUUUUUGAAUCUGUAAUCAGAGAUUUAUAGAGUGAGGCUUUUCUCCCCUCUGAUCACACGGAUACUACCAACUACUAGAGGCAAGGGCAAAAGCCAGACAUAUAUUUAUAAAAUUCAAAUCAUUAGUAGUAUUCUUCUGUUCUUUUAGUCAUUCUUCUUUCUAUCCCUGAGAAGAGACAGGAACUCUCAUUUCUUUUGUUUUCAAUAGCACCAUCAUCAAUUAAUUUGAAGAGAGAGCACAUUGACCAAAGCCAAGCACAAAAUGGGAAGAGAAAAGUUUAGGACAAUUCAAAGACUCUUCCCCUAUUUCUUUAUUGGGGAUCCUGAACCAUGCAGUUUGCAGAUUGGUCUUUGAUUUUCUUAUCCAUUGUCACUUUAGAAACCUUUCAGCAUUAUUGUUUUAAUAGAUUCUGGAUUCUCAUUUUCAGUGGAUUUGAAUUCUUCUGCUUCAGAUGAGCAGAACUUGACACCACCUGGCUUUAAAAGCAAUAAAAAUGAUGUUAGAGUGGUUGACCCUACCUGUGUGACUUUGGACAAAUCCCUGAAUCUUGUUGGACCUUAGUUUGUUCAUCUGUAAGAUGAAGGAGUUGGACUAGAUGGCCCUAAGCCUCCUUGCAGCUUUAGAUAUUUGAUCCUAAAUCAAAUUUACCAUUGUUAUUGGUAUCCAUCAAUGGGAAUUCUAUAGUAGCAUUCUUACUUAGUCUUUCCCUAAGUCCAUACUCCAGUUGGGUGCCAUUGAUUUUCAUAAAACAGAAUUCUAAUCAUGUCAAUUCUCUGUUUAAUAAACUCCAUUUGCUCCCUUACACCUCCAGGAUCAACUAUAAAAUUCUCUGCUUGGUUUUAUGAAGCCUUUCAUGACCCAGCUUCUCUCUACCUUUCUGACCUUCUUACCCUUCCCUCCCCUCCAUGAUACAGUUACACUGACCUUCAUUUGGCUAUUUCUCAUGUCUAUAAGGCUGCAUCUCCUCUCCUCUGCCUCUUGAUUUCCCUGGUCUCAUCCAAGAUUCCUCAAAUCCCACUUUUUGCAGGAGGUCUUUCCCUUGCAUCCCCUCCCCAUCCCCAAUAGCCUCCCCCCUUGAGAUUACCUUUCAUUUAUGCUGCAUAUAUCUUGCAUGAAUAUAGGACUUAUAUGUUCAAAAAUACUUAUAGCAGUUCAUUUGGUGAUGGCAAAGAAUUGAAAAUUGAGAGGAUGGCCAUCAAUUGGCAAAUGGUUGAACAAGUUGUGGUAUAUGAUUGGGAUGGAAUACUAUUGUAGUAUAAGAAAUGACAAAGGGGAUGGUUUCAGAAAAGCCUGCAAAGACUUAAAAGAACUGAUGCAAAGUGAAUGGAACAGCAUUGCAUUCUAUUUUGGGAACUCAGAGAUGAAACAAUACAUAUUCCUUAUCCUCAAGGAGUUUAUAAUCUCCCGAGAGCAUACAGAACAUACAUGAAUAAUUAUAAUGGCAGGUAAUACUAAUAGCUAACAUUAUGUAGUGCCUACUAUGUGCCAGGCACUGUACUAAAUAUUUUUUAAAUAUUAUCUCAUUGGAUCCUUAAAACCCUAGGAGGUAGAUGCUGUUAUUACUUCCAUUUUACAUAUGAGGAAAUUAAGUGGUUUACCUAGGGUCAAAAAAAUAUUAAGUGUCUAAGGCUGGAUUUGAACUUGUGUCUUCUUGAUGCCAGGCCCAGUACUCUAACUACUGUGCCACAUAGUUGCCCCAAAGGCUAAUGGAGAGAUAUAGUCAAAAGGCUUGAGAAAAUUUUGAGGAGGGAGAUACCAUUUUCAACUGAGUGAACAGGGCAGGCAUUGUUAAGUAGAUUAUUCCAGAACUUGGCCUUGAUGGAUAAAAAGAACCUUGAUGGGUCAGGGAGAAGCAGGGAAUAGACUUCAUUCUUAUAGAUAUUAGCUUGUGGAAAUUAAUGGGAGUAGCAGAUCGCAGACAUAGAUUGGGGAAAGUUUAACAGUAUGACUUAACCAAAACAUAGAAUAUAUGAAUAAGAACAAAAUAAGGUAGAGGUAGCUAAAUAGCACAGUGGAUCAUCAAGCCUGGAAUCAGGAGAAUCUGGGUUCAAAUCUGACCUCAGACACUUCCUUGCUGUGUGACCCUGGGCAAGUCACUUAACCCCAAUUGCCUUGCCCUUAUUGCUCUUCUGUUUUAGAACUGAUACUAAGAAAGAAGGUAAGGGUUUAAAAAAAAUUUUUUUAAUAAGAAUUUUUUUUUAAAAGAGUGAAGAUGGGAAAGACAGACUAGAACCCAUCUUGUAGGGCUGUAAAUGCCUAUCUGAGGAGUUUUUCAUAGACACUAGAGGAAGUAUGGGGACAUUGAAGGCUUUGAAGUAAGGGGAUGGCACAAGUGGACUUGUAUAUUGGAAGUUAAUUUCAGCAGCUGUGGAAAGGAUGGAAUGAAGAGAGGAGAGGCAGAGACACCAAUCAGAAGUCAGUUGUCCUAUUGAGACACUUUAGUUAGUAGCUAUAUGAGAGGAAGAGAGGUGAUAGAUUUGAGAGAUACCAUGGAAGUAAGUUGAAUAGGAUAUGGUAACUGAUUGGAUACAGGAAGGGAAGGAGAAGGGACAAUCACAGAUAACUCUCAGGUUUUGAGCCUGAUGGAAUACUUCAGUGGAUGGUGUUAUCAUCAUCAGAAAACAGGAAAUGAGGAAGUAGGGUAAGGUGAUAUGUUCUGUUUCAGACAUAUUGAAUUUAAGGAGAUAACAGGACAUCCAAGGGGUUAAGUCUAUCAGGCAAUUGUAAAUGUAGGACUGGAUGUAAGGGCAAGAUGAGACUAGAUAUAUAAAUGUAGCAGUUAUCUGCACAGAGGUGAUAAUUGAAACCAUGGGAGUGCCUGAGAUGGCUGAAGUAAAGAGUAAAAGGAGACUUCAAACUACCCUUUGGCAAUUGUGGUAGGGGGUGGAGGAUGGAAAAGUUGGGGGAAUUAGAAGCUAUUAGCUAUAAUCAGAUGGGCAGGUAAUCCAGCCUGGCUAGAUCUCUCCAAUCUGCAGUUAAUGAACUUGGUAACUUAACGAAGGAAGAAGAGAAAUGUCAAGAUAACCCAGAGAGAAGUAUCUUGAAAAUAUCAGGAGGAUCAGGACAGUGUUGGGGGACACCCUCAUGUGGGAAUGAGAGGAAAGUAGGAUCAAAUUUUGUUUAGAUCUGGAAGAGAGUGAAGAGGACAUCUAGUCUCUUCCCUUCAUUUUGUAGAUGAGGAACUGACUCUCAGAAAGAUUUACUGACUUGCCCAGGAUCACACAGCUAGUAAGUGGAUGCGACAGGAGUUGAAUCCAAGCCUACCUCACUCCAAGUACAUUGUACUGUCCACUAUAAAUAUGUAUUGCAUAAGAGCACUGGUGUAAUCUACAUCAAACUACCAUCUUGGGAAGGGAGGAAGGGAGGGAGGCAGGGAGUGAAUCUGCAUCUCAAUGUGUUAGACAACAAUUGUUAAAAAUGCUUUCUACAUGCAAUUGAAAAAAAAAAGAAAAUGAUGAAUGAAGGAGUCAGAGAAGGAACAGUCUUCGUGCACAAACUCUGUCUUUGAAAAUUCUCCAUUUCACAAAUUACCAAGAAGACAUUGUUCCUUUGCUCCUCUAACUGUAGCCUCUCAAACCAUGGUGAUCAAUGAGUAUUUUUCUAAGUAUCUAAAAUUUUGGUUAGCUAUCUCCUCUCCUGAAUUUUCAGAGGCUUCCACUUAGGGAUGUAUGAGAUAGUGAGGAAGGAAAUAUUAGGAGCAUAUGAUAAAUCGGAAAAUCAACAAAGAAUUUGUAUGAGAUGUGAGAUUAUUAACCUAACAAAGGAAAAAGAAAUGAUGUUUUUAGAUCAUAUUUAGAAAUUUAGUUUUAAAAUAUCAGUUGCCGAUGCAGAAUGAAAUGAGCAGAACCAGAAGAACAUUAUACACAGAAAGUGAAACAUUAUAGAACAAUACAAUGUAAUGGACUUUGCUUAUACAAGACAAUCCCAAGGGUCUUAGGAGAAAGAACACUAUUCACAUGGAGAGAAAGAACUGUGGGAGUAAAAACACAGAAGAAAAACAAAUGACUUCUCAUUUGUUUAGAUGGAUAUAUGAUUUGGGGUUUUGGUUUUCAAAGAUUGCUGUAUUGCAAAAAUGAAUAAUAUGGAAAUAUGUAUAAGUGAUAACAUUUGUAUAACCCAGUGGACGUGCUUAUUGGAUCUGGGAGGGAGGAGGAAAAGGGGAGAGAAAAAAUGAAAUAUGUAAACAUGAGAAAAUAUUUUUAAAAGAAAUUAAAAAAAAUAUCAGUUGCUAUUUCUUUUUUCUGCUUUUUCCCUCCCAGGGUGGCUAGGAGGAUAACCUGAGAACAUUUGUGAAGUGCUUUGCAAACUUCAAAGUUCUAUAUAAACAGUCAUUAUUAUGAUUUUAUCUUCAGCCAUAAAAUGUGGUAUAGUUCUGCAAAGGGGGCAAAGCAGAAGAAUACCUGUUUCUUCAUUUACAAGCCAGGAUGGUAACAUUUGCAAAACUUAUAAUCACAGGGUUGUCAGGAGUGAAGUUGUACAUUAUAUGAAAUGUCAUCACUCUAGACAACAUUCGGCUACUUCAACCCUCUAAUUCCUAUAAUAUUUUUGCAGAGAUCUAUGGCGUGUGGAGUAGAUGUCCAAUGCUAAACUAUGAAUAGAUACUUGGAAACAAACAUGCCAACUGUGAAAAGGAUGUAAAGGUUUGCAAUUUGCAAAACUGUUGCAAAAAACUGAGAAAUGCAAACCUUAGGACUGAUUGACAGUGGCAUGUGACCAAGGGUCACAUGGGAGCGUGAGCCUGAGGAUCUGGGAAGAUUCUAUGGACCACUAGUUUGUCUUAUGAGUAUGUCUGCUCUCCUUGAAUGACCUUGUCUGCUCUCCUGGAAGACCAAAGGAGGAGUUUGCCUGUGACCAACAGAGGAAGGAAUUUUUCUGGAUUUUGGCUGCUGGCAGCAUCAGUGUGGACUUAUUGGACAUCUAACAACUUAAGAUUCCUGGCUCUAUUUAAUUUGGACUCCUGGUGUAAGAUUGGGAUAUUUGGGAGGUUAAGGUUUUAUUUUAGUAGCAUAGUUUAUAUAGCUUAGUUACUUAUAAUCUUUUAAAUUAAGUUAAAGAAUAAGUAUAUGCCUAAACCCUUAUUCCUUUCCUACCCUUCCCAAACAAUAAAGCAGAAUUUUUAUAUGUUA